RNAcentral lists this ribosomal RNA (381 nucleotides) under uncultured bacterium. RNAcentral's name for it is "bacterial SSU rRNA". It matches the Rfam family "Bacterial small subunit ribosomal RNA", at positions 28 to 416 of the family's 1533-position model. The record is from RNAcentral.
GAUGAACGCUGGCGGCGUGCCUAACACAUGCAAGUCGUACGAGCUCGAUCUUCGGAACGGGUUAGUGGCGCACGGGUGAGUAACACGUAGGUGACCUACCCCAGAGUGGGGGAGUAACUUCUCGAAAGAGAGGCUAAUACCGCAUACACUCGGUCAUUCAUUGGCCGAGCAAAGCUCCGGCGCUUUGGGACGGGCCUGCGUCCGAUUAGCUAGUUGGUAGGGUAAUGGCUUACCAAGGCUUUGAUCGGUAGCUGGUCUGAGAGGACGAUCAGCCACACUGGCACUGACACACGGGCCAGACUCCUACGGGAGGCAGCAGUGAGGAAUAUUGGGCAAUGGGCGAAAGCCUGACCCAGCAACGCCGCGUGAGGGAUGAAGGCC